CCUACGGGUGGCAGCAGUGGGGAAUAUUGGACAAUGGGCGAAAGCCUGAUCCAGCCAUGCCGCGUGUGUGAAGAAGGCCUUCGGGUUGUAAAGCACUUUCAGUGGGGAAGAAAGCCUUGGGGCUAAUACCCUCGAGGAAGGACAUCACCCACAGAAGAAGCACCGGCUAACUCCGUGCCAGCAGCCGCGGUAAUACGGAGGGUGCGAGCGUUAAUCGGAAUUACUGGGCGUAAAGCGCGCGUAGGCGGUCUGAUAAGCCGGUUGUGAAAGCCCCGGGCUCAACCUGGGAACGGCAUCCGGAACUGUCAGGCUAGAGUGCAGGAGAGGAAGGUAGAAUUCCCGGUGUAGCGGUGAAAUGCGUAGAGAUCGGGAGGAAUACCAGUGGCGAAGGCGGCCUUCUGGACUGACACUGACGCUGAGGUGCGAAAGCGUGGGUAGCAAAUAGGAUUAGAUACCCUAGUAGUC
RNAcentral lists this ribosomal RNA (465 nucleotides) under Vreelandella stevensii. Its description in RNAcentral is "partial 16S ribosomal RNA". It matches the Rfam family "Bacterial small subunit ribosomal RNA", at positions 338 to 795 of the family's 1533-position model. Lineage: Bacteria; Pseudomonadati; Pseudomonadota; Gammaproteobacteria; Oceanospirillales; Halomonadaceae. The record is from RNAcentral.